GGACAAACGCUGGCGGCGUGCCUAACGCAUGCAAGUCGAGCGGAGCUUAUUGGAAGGGUAACUGGAAGAUAAGCUUAGCGGCGGACGGGUGAGUAACACGUGAGCAACCUGGCCUUAGCACAGGGGAUAACAGGUCGAAAGGCUUGCUAAUACCUGAUAGGACUACGUUAACGCAUGUUAAGGUAGUGAAAGGGGGAAACUCGGCUAAGGAUGGGCUCGCGGUCCAUCCACCUAGUUGGUAGGGUUAAGGCCUACCAAGGGCGGACGAACCGGUAGACCCGCCCUGAGAAAGGUGACCCGCCCACAGGUGGGGACUGAAGAACAGCGCCCCCACACCCCUCUACCGGGAAGGCAGCAACCGGGGAAUCUCUUGGCCAAUGGGGCGAAAACCUGAACCCAGCGAACCCCCCCGUGGGGAAAGAAGCUUUUCGGGAUGGUUAAACCCUGGUUGGACAGGGAAGAGGAAGGAAAAUAUAACUUGUUGAAGGAAAGCCAGGGCUAAACUACCUUGGCAACAAGCCCCGGGUAAUCCGUAAGUGGGGCGAGGCGUGUGUCCCGGAAAUAACUGGGGUGUUAAAAGGGUGGCGUAAGGCGGCUUAUUUUAGUUUUAGUUGUGGAAAACCCUUCAGGCUCUCACCUUUGAGGGCAUGGCCACCUAAAAACUGGGUGUAGCCUUGGAGUUGCAGGGAGAGGGAUGGACGGGAAUUUCCCGGGAGUAGCGGUGAGAUGCGUAGAUAUCGGGAGGAACACCAGUGGCGAAGGCGGUCAUCUGGACUGUAACUGACGCUGAGGCACGAAAGCGUGGGGAGCAAACAGGGAUUAGAUACCCUGGUAGUCCACGCUGUAAACGAUGGAUGCUAGGUGUAGGUGAGAAGGACUCAUCUGUGCCGGAGUUAACACAAUAAGCAUCCCACCUGGGGAGUACGGCCGCAAGGUUGAAACUCAAAGGAAUUGACGGGGGCCCGCACAAGCGGUGGAGCAUGUGGUUUAAUUCGAAGCAACACGAAGAACCUUACCAGGGCUUGACAUCCUGCGGAUCUGGUGGAAACACUGGAGUGCCUGCUUUUAAGUAGGAACGCAGAGACAGGUGGUGCAUGGUUGUCGUCAGCUCGUGUCGUGAGGUGUUGGGUUAAGUCCCGCAACGAGCGCAACCCCUAUGAUUAGUUGCCAGCGGGUAGAGCCGGGCACUCUAAUCAGACUGCCGCUGAUGAAGCGGAGGAAGGUGGGGAUGACGUCAAAUCAUCAUGCCCUAUAUGUUCUGGGCUACACACGUGCUACAAUGGUCGUGAGACAGAGGGAAGCGAAGCAGUGAUGUGGAGCGAAUCUCAGAAAAGCGACCCCAGUUCAGAUUGCAGGCUGCAACUCGCCUGCAUGAAGUCGGAAUCGCUAGUAAUCGCGGAUCAGCAAGCCGCGGUGAAUACGUUCCCGGGCCUUGUACACACCGCCCGUCACACCAUGAGAGUUGGCAACACCCGAAGAUACUUUAGGAAGGUAUUGAAGGUGGGGCUGAUGAUUGGGGU
Molecule: ribosomal RNA, 1520 nt
Filed under: uncultured bacterium
Lineage: Bacteria
Description: bacterial SSU rRNA
Rfam family: Bacterial small subunit ribosomal RNA
Source: RNAcentral